GACGAACGCUGGCGGCGUGCCUAAUACAUGCAAGUCGAGCGGACGGAUGGGAGCUUGCUCCCAGACCGUCAGCGGCGGACGGGUGAGUAACACGUGGGCAACCUGCCUGUAAGACUGGGAUAACUCCGGGAAACCGGGGCUAAUACCGGAUAACUCUUUCCCUCACAUGAGGGAAAGCUGAAAGAUGGCAUCUCGCUAUCACUUACAGAUGGGCCCGCGGCGCAUUAGCUAGUUGGUGAGGUAACGGCUCACCAAGGCGACGAUGCGUAGCCGACCUGAGAGGGUGAUCGGCCACACUGGCACUGAGACACGGCCCAGACUCCUACGGGAGGCAGCAGUAGGGAAUCUUCCGCAAUGGACGAAAGUCUGACGGAGCAACGCCGCGUGAGUGAUGAAGGUUUUCGGAUCGUAAAGCUCUGUUGUCAGGGAAGAACAAGUACCGGAGUAACUGCCGGUACCUUGACGGUACCUGACCAGAAAGCCACGGCUAACUACGUG
This 498-nucleotide ribosomal RNA is filed under the name uncultured bacterium. Its description in RNAcentral is "partial 16S ribosomal RNA". It matches the Rfam family "Bacterial small subunit ribosomal RNA", at positions 28 to 507 of the family's 1533-position model. The record is from RNAcentral.